GACGAACGCUGGCGGCGUGCUUAACACAUGCAAGUCGAACGGAAAGGCCCUGCUUUUGUGGGGUGCUCGAGUGGCGAACGGGUGAGUAACACGUGAGUAACCUGCCCUUGACUUUGGGAUAACUUCAGGAAACUGGGGCUAAUACCGGAUAAGAGCUCCUGCUGCAUGGUGGGGGUUGGAAAGUUUCGGCGGUUGGGGAUGGACUCGCGGCUUAUCAGCUUGUUGGUGGGGUAGUGGCUUACCAAGGCUUUGACGGGUAGCCGGCCUGAGAGGGUGACCGGCCACAUUGGGACUGAGAUACGGCCCAGACUCCUACGGGAGGCAGCAGUGGGGAAUAUUGCACAAUGGGCGGAAGCCUGAUGCAGCAACGCCGCGUGCGGGAUGACGGCCUUCGGGUUGUAAACCGCUUUCGCCUGUGACGAAGCGUGAGUGACGGUAAUGGGUAAAGAAGCACCGGCUAACUACGUG
Molecule: ribosomal RNA, 468 nt
Filed under: uncultured bacterium
Lineage: Bacteria
Description: partial 16S ribosomal RNA
Rfam family: Bacterial small subunit ribosomal RNA
Source: RNAcentral